This 74-nucleotide transfer RNA is filed under the name Crossiella cryophila. It matches the Rfam family "tRNA". From Rfam's summary of the family: Transfer RNA (tRNA) molecules are approximately 80 nucleotides in length. Their secondary structure includes four short double-helical elements and three loops (D, anti-codon, and T loops). The record is from Rfam by way of RNAcentral. Lineage: Bacteria; Bacillati; Actinomycetota; Actinomycetes; Pseudonocardiales; Pseudonocardiaceae.
ACCUCUGUAGCUCAGUUGGAUAGAGCGCCGCAUUACGGAUGCGGAGGUCCCGGGUUCGAAUCCUGGCAGGGGUG